AGCUUUACACAGUGGCAGUAUCGUAGCCAAUGAGGUUUAUCCAAGGCACUAUUAUUGCUGAUUGAAAACUUUUCCCAAUACCCUGCCAUGACGACUUGAAAUAUAGUUGGCAUUGGCAAUUUUUGGCAAUCUCUACGGAGA
RNAcentral lists this small nuclear RNA (141 nucleotides) under Saimiri boliviensis boliviensis (Bolivian squirrel monkey). RNAcentral's name for it is "U4 spliceosomal RNA (ENSSBOG00000011979.1)". It matches the Rfam family "U4 spliceosomal RNA". Rfam says of the family: U4 small nuclear RNA (U4 snRNA) is a component of the major U2-dependent spliceosome. Lineage: Eukaryota; Metazoa; Chordata; Mammalia; Primates; Cebidae. The record is from Rfam by way of RNAcentral.